ACACACACAGCAGAAAUGACUGCACUCCUAGGACUUUAUAGAGAUUUUCAAAUAAAAUUUAACUUUUAUUCCAUUCAUUUAAAUGGAUUGAAUAAAAGUUACAUUUUAUUUGAAAAUCUCUAUAAAGUCCUUGGAGUGCGGUCAUUUCUGCUAUGUCUACAUGAUCCUUGCCAGACCAGCACCG
Molecule: non-coding RNA, 184 nt
Organism: Pelobates cultripes (western spadefoot toad)
Lineage: Eukaryota; Metazoa; Chordata; Amphibia; Anura; Pelobatidae
Source: the annotation of a GenBank genome assembly